GAUUGAUUCUCUCUCUCUGCUUGGAGAGUUGGUGAUCAGUGCUGAGGGACCCCGUAGUCCAGGAAUUUAUUUUUUUAAGCUAUAUUAUAUUUAAAAGUUCAGAAGGACAAAGAUGACAACUUAGGUAACAAACACUUGUUAGAAAGGGCGGUCCACUCUGAUUAAUAGUAAUCAGUCCAACAAAACAAACCAAACCAAUCCACCCAAAACCAAGCCCACAUUAAUAAACCCAACCCCUAAACCUAAAAUCCCUAGGUGGAAUAAGAGGGUGUAAGCACAGAAGCUCUGUGACCACCAUCUACAGUUGCUACCACCACAGACGUGCCGAGCGGAUCGAAGCCAACAACACUAAUCAGCAACACAAGGAGCACACUAAGAUGAUCCAUCCACUCGCAGCAUCUCAAGGAACAAUAUUUGCAUGCUAACUUCCGCAACAAGGACAUUUACACAUAGCUACAUGGUUAAGAGGGCCGUUGCAAAGCUUUGACUCACGAUGCCAAGGGCAUGACCUUUUCAACCAUAGUGUAGAAGCAGAUCCCGGAGAUACAGACUGGUUAAAGCAACUGAAACCCACUCAACUAGUAUAGCCACCCAAUUGAGUCUAACGCUUGACAAGGACCAGUAAGCAAGAAAUGAAACUUUUCUCCAAGAGACCGCCAUGCAUCAUCUUUUCGCUGAACACAAACUCCGAUCUAACUCUGAAGAUCCAACCUGCAAACAAAGAUCAAAACCAAACAUCGACAUGCAAAGAUUCAUGUACAAACUAACACAACUAGGGGAGGGCUUGCCGCUAGAAGUUAGAAACCAAAAUCAAAACCCAAAAGCCUUCUCCUGCUCGAAGGCAAAAAGGAAACUAAGAAGGAGACGAUCAGAGACUCAACGAACUGAGAGAGCUGAAGCGACGAAACCAGAAAUGAGAGAAUUUCUCUCUCCUAAACAAAGAGAGAAAAUGCUAUAUUGAACGUAAUAUCCAUGGAUUUUUCUGGUUCUCUGUUCUUACUCAUUCAUUAGCUUUAUUGGGUUCUCCGCCAAAUAUGAUACAUACACAAGACAUCCAUGGCCUAUAGCUAUAGACCAAUAAGUCAUGUUGUACUUUUACCUUCGAUUAUUGGACCCAACUUUUUUAUUUUGUGAUUGGGCACUGCCUUUUACUUUUA
RNAcentral lists this unclassified non-coding RNA (1157 nucleotides) under Hevea brasiliensis (rubber tree). Lineage: Eukaryota; Viridiplantae; Streptophyta; Magnoliopsida; Malpighiales; Euphorbiaceae. The record is from RNAcentral.